This 308-nucleotide long non-coding RNA is filed under the name Bos taurus (domestic cattle). RNAcentral describes it as "long non-coding RNA NONBTAT025189". The record is from RNAcentral. Lineage: Eukaryota; Metazoa; Chordata; Mammalia; Artiodactyla; Bovidae.
UUUCUCUCUUGACACUAUGUGUUAGAAUAACUUUCUCCUGAUCCAUGUUAUCAUACUAUUAAAUGCGUAUUUUCUUUCCUGGCUGAGUCUUACGUCCCCUCCACUGUCCUUGCAGCUUAUGGAAAGCUUGCCAUGGCCUAUUUUGUGCAACAUAGUCCCUGUUUUUCUCCAGAAAACAUUAAAGUUCCAGGGAGUUUAGAUAACCAGGAGUUUGAGUCAGACCAUGAGGACAGAAGAGUUUUGGACAAAGAUAGAGGGUUAAACACAUCCAGACUAGUUACUGCAAUUUCUCAUCUCUCCUUUCUUUA